Molecule: ribosomal RNA, 715 nt
Filed under: uncultured bacterium
Lineage: Bacteria
Description: bacterial SSU rRNA
Rfam family: Bacterial small subunit ribosomal RNA
Source: RNAcentral
AUUAGAUACCCUGGUAGUCCACGCAGUAAACGAUGAAUACUAAUUGUCCGGGCAGAGAGAUGCCUGGGUGAUACAGCGAAAGCGUUAAGUAUUCCACCUGGGGAGUACGCCGGCAACGGUGAAACUCAAAGGAAUUGACGGGGGCCCGCACAAGCGGAGGAACAUGUGGUUUAAUUCGAUGAUACGCGAGGAACCUUACCCGGGCUCAAACGACACAGGAAUACUUUUGAAAGGAGGUAGCCAGCAAUGGUCUGUGUCGAGGUGCUGCAUGGUUGUCGUCAGCUCGUGCCGUGAGGUGUCGGCUUAAGUGCCAUAACGAGCGCAACCCCUACCGCCAGUUGCCAGCAGGUAAAGCUGGGGACUCUGGCGGGACUGCCGGCGCAAGCUGCGAGGAAGGCGGGGAUGACGUCAAAUCAGCACGGCCCUUACGUCCGGGGCGACACACGUGUUACAAUGGCAGGUACAGCGGGAAGCCACCUGGCGACAGGGCGCGGAACCCGAAAACCUGUCUCAGUUCGGAUUGGAGUCUGCAACCCGACUCCAUGAAGCUGGAUUCGCUAGUAAUCGCGCAUCAGCCACGGCGCGGUGAAUACGUUCCCGGGCCUUGUACACACCGCCCGUCAAGCCAUGGAAGCCGGGAGUGCCUGAAGUGCGUGACCGCAAGGAGCGUCCUAAGGCAAUACCGGUGACUGGGGCUAAGUCGUAACAAGGUAUC